AGUGAACGCUGGCGGCGUGCUUAACACAUGCAAGUCGCGCGGGAUUCUGCAGAGUAUCGCAGAGUUUAGCGGCAAACGGGUGAGUAACACGUAGGAAACCUCCCUCAGAAUGGGGAAUAUCUCCGAGAAAUCGGAGUCAAUACCGCAUAAGACCACAGCUUGGCAUCAAGCAGAGGUCAAAGCAGCAAUGUGUUUUGAGAUGGUCCUGCGUCCUAUCAGCUUGUUGGUGAGGAAACGGCUUACCAAGGCUAUGACGGGUAUCCGGCCUGAAAGGGUGAACGGACACACUGGAACUGAGACACGGUCCAGACUCCUACGGGAGGCAGCAGUGGGGAAUUUUGGACAAUGGGGGAAACCCUGAUCCAGCGACGCCGCGUGGAGGACGAAGGCUUUCGGGUUGUAAACUCCUUUUAGAGGGGAAGAAAUAAAUGACGGUACCCUCAGAAAAUGCCACGGCUAACUACGUGCCAGCAGCCGCGGUAAUACGUAGGUGGCGAGCGUUACUCGGAAUUACUAGGCGUAAAGCGUAUGCAGGCGGUCGUAUAAGUCUUUAGUAAAAUUUCCCGGCUCAACCGGGAAAAGCCUAAGGAUACUGUUCGGCUUGAGUGUGUGAGAGGGAGAUGGAAUUCCUGGUGUAGCGGUGAAAUGCGUAGAUAUCAGGAGGAACACCGAUGGCGAAAGCAAUCUCCUGGACCAAUACUGACGCUGAUAUACGAAAGCUAGGGUAGCAAACAGGAUUAGAUACCCUGGUAGUCCUAGCUGUAAACGAUGUUCACUAGAUGUGGGGGGUAUCGACCCCUUCCGCGUCAACGCUAACGCAUUAAGUGAACCGCCUGGGGAGUACGGCCGCAAGGUUGAAACUCAAAGGAAUUGACGGGGGCCCGCACAAGCGGUGGAGUAUGUGGUUUAAUUCGACGCAACACGAAAAACCUUACCUGGGCUUGAACUGCUGAUGGUAAAAACCGGAAACGGCAAUGACCCGCAAGGGAGUCAGUAGAGGUGCUGCAUGGCUGUCGUCAGCUCGUGUCGUGAGAUGUUGGGUUAAGUCCCGCAACGAGCGCAACCCUUAUCCCAUGUUACCGGUAGCAAUACGGGGUCUCUGAGGAAACUGCCAUUGAUAAAAUGGAGGAAGGUGGGGACGACGUCAAGUCAUCAUGGCCUUUAUGUCCAGGGCUACACACGUACUACAAUGGCCGGUACAGAGGGUAGCAAUAUCGUAAGGUGGAGCAAAUCCCUGAAAGCCGGCCCCAGUUCAGAUUGUGGGCUGCAAUUCGCCCACAUGAAGUAGGAAUCGCUAGUAAUCGCAGAUCAGCAGGCUGCGGUGAAUACGUUCCCGGGCCUUGUACACACCGCCCGUCACACCACGAAAGUCAGUCAUAACAGAAGUCGUUGGGCUAACCGCAAGGAGGCAGGCGCCUAAGUUAUGGUUGGUGAUUGGGGUG
This 1442-nucleotide ribosomal RNA is filed under the name uncultured Endomicrobiia bacterium. RNAcentral's name for it is "uncultured Endomicrobia bacterium 16S ribosomal RNA". It matches the Rfam family "Bacterial small subunit ribosomal RNA". Lineage: Bacteria; Pseudomonadati; Elusimicrobiota; Endomicrobiia. The record is from RNAcentral.